Molecule: ribosomal RNA, 165 nt
Filed under: uncultured bacterium
Lineage: Bacteria
Description: partial 16S rRNA
Rfam family: Bacterial small subunit ribosomal RNA
Source: RNAcentral
UAGGGAAUCUUCGGCAAUGGGGGCAACCCUGACCGAGCAACGCCGCGUGAGUGAAGAAGGUUUUCGGAUCGUAAAGCUCUGUUGUAAGAGAAGAACGUGCGUGAGAGUGGAAAGUUCACACAGUGACGGUAACUUACCAGAAAGGGACGGCUAACUACGUGUCAG